CUACGGGUUGCAGCAGUCGAGAAUCUUCCGCAAUGGACGAAAGUCUGACGGAGCGACGCCGCGUGAUUGAAGAAGCAAUUCGUUGUGUAAAAAUCUUUUAUGAGGGAAGAAGUUUAUUGACGGUACCUCAUGAAUAAGGGGCUCCUAAUCUCGUGCCAGCAGGAGCGGUAAUACGAGAGCCCCGAGCGUUAUCCGGAAUUAUUGGGCGUAAAGGGUGCGUAGGCGGUGAUGUUAGUCGUUUGUCAAAUCCUCGGGCUUAACCCGAGAGUCGCGAACGAAACGGCAUCACUAGAGAAUGUGGGGAGUAUGGGGAACUCAUGGUGUAGGGGUGAAAUCCGUUGAUAUCAUGGGGAACACCGAAAGCGAAAGCACCAUACUAACACAUAUCUGACGCUUAAGCACGAAAGCGUGGGUAGCGAAUGGGAUUAGAUACCCCAGUAGUC
RNAcentral lists this ribosomal RNA (443 nucleotides) under uncultured bacterium. RNAcentral describes it as "partial 16S ribosomal RNA". It matches the Rfam family "Bacterial small subunit ribosomal RNA", at positions 339 to 795 of the family's 1533-position model. The record is from RNAcentral.